AUUCCAGCUCCAAUAGCGUAUAUUAAAGUUGUUGCAGUUAAAAAGCUCGUAGUUGGAUUUCUGGUUUGAUGCCCAGGCCCGCUGCGUGCGUCUGCCAUCCUUCUAGGGAACGUUCCUUCUCUUCACUGAGCCGGGUUCGUGAUCUAGAUCGUUUACUUUGAAAAAAUUAGAGUGUUUAAAGCAGGCUUUUGCUAUGAAUACAUUAGCAUGGAAUAAUAAUCUAGGACUUCGGUCAUAUUUUGUUGGUUUCUGUAACUGAAGUAAUGAUUGAUAGGGAUAGUUGGGGGUGCUAGUAUUGAGCGGCCAGAGGUGAAAUUCUUGGAUUCGCUCAAGACUAACUUAUGCGAAAGCAUUCACCAAGGAUGUCUUCAUUA
This 374-nucleotide ribosomal RNA is filed under the name Ebria sp. Its description in RNAcentral is "partial small subunit ribosomal RNA". It matches the Rfam family "Eukaryotic small subunit ribosomal RNA", at positions 582 to 975 of the family's 1831-position model. Lineage: Eukaryota; Cercozoa; Thecofilosea; Ebriacea. The record is from RNAcentral.